CCGGAGUUUCCACAGUGCUGGAACUCCCGGCUCGGGGUCUCUUCCCUCCGCCGUCACGGAAGUGCCCCGGAGCCCGAGGGGAGGGCGGCCUCACUGAGGCUGCCGGCUGUUGAGGGCCCCUGGCGGCCGAAGCCGCGACAGUCGUGGGGACGGCGGGCCGGAUCACUCAUCCUGGGGUAAGCCAGCUGCCAUGUCAUGAGGACACUCAAGCAGCCCUAAGGAGAGAUCCAUGUGGCAAGGAACUGAGGCCUCUUACCUACAGCCACGUGAACACCAUGCUAGCAAAAAGAGAGUGGUGUGAAAUAUUUAGUAUUGAAAGGAAAAAAACACCAACCUAGAAUUCUGUAUCCAAUGAAAUUCGCCUCUAAAACUAAAGAGGAAAUGAAGACUUUCUCAGACAAGCCAAAACUGUAGGAAUCUUUCACUAGCAGGCCUGCCUUGCAAGAAAUGUUGAAAGUUCUUCGAGAGAUAGAAAAUGAUAUGGGUCAGAAAUUCAGAUCUACAUAAAGAAUGGAAGAGAAUUAGAGAAGAAAUAAAUAAAGAUUCUAAAUCAGCUGGUACUGUUUUAGUAUGAUACACACGAUGGAGAGAAUGCAACAUAUAUAGAUUACUGUAUACAGAGCUGUGAAAAAGACGAUGUUCUCUUCAAGUACAGAGAUCCCAUUUAUAAAAUUCAAACAUUUUAAAGAAAUCCAACAGGACCCAAUUCUCCAUGCCUUGUGCAACUGCUCAAGGGCUGCUGCAGCUGACACUGAAGGAAUGGUACAAGUGUGCAAGGGCCAACUCAGCAAAAGCCAAACUGCAGAAGAACCUAUUUGCCUUUAAUCAAGUGGCUAAGUUUGCCACAUUUAUCCAUCUCACAAAAAGUUGUUUUGUGGAACAGUCUUCUCUAACAUACUCAAAAAAAUAAAUGACUGUUCACAGGACUGCCCACAAUGACCAUCCAGAGCACAGGCUCCGGACGCGCAGGCUCAGCGGCCACAGCUCAUGGGACCAGCCGCUCCGCAACAUGUGGGAUCUUCCCGGACCGAGUCAAGAACCCGUGUCCCCUUCAUUGGCAGGCGGACUCUCAACCACUGUGCCACCAGGGAAGCCCUUAUUAUUCUCUUUUUAAAUUAUACUUUAGGUUGGUUCUGUUGGUUACAGCAUGUCACCAAUGAAUAUAAAUGAAUAUAAAGUCCCACAUUUCAUUUUUAACAGCCUAACAAGCUAAACAGCCUUGCUCUUUCAGGCUUAUGAGCAAUACUCUAAACCAUGGCUGGCUGCCUAAAAAAAAAAAGCAUGCUGCUUAUCAAAAGGGGCCUAGAUGGACAGAUAGAAGAUCAAAACAUCAAUAAAAACCUUAAUGUGUUUACUAUUAAAUUACUGACAAAAGGUCAGUAGCACCUUGUUUGAAUAUGUAGAUUGUUAUCCCAAAACAUUUCUGUUAAGAGUUCCUAAAACGAUGACAAAAAUAAAGGUAUUGUCCUGAUUAUAAAAUUAGUACGUCUAUUGAAGUACAGGUAAUAUGGGAAAAUAAUUUUUUAUCCAGAUUCCUGAUAUUUUCCUUGGCAUAUAGUGCUAGAAAUAGGAUUGCAAGUUCAAAGUUAUGAGUGUUUUGAAGGCUACUGGCAUAUUAUUUUGCCAAACUGACUUCCAAAAAGGUUAAACCAAGCUACACUCUCAUUACCAUUGUAAGAGAAUUCUUACUUGAAUGGAGUAUUUUCAGGUUCUAGCAUUGCUUUAUUUCGAAGAAUAGCUGGUCCAGCUCCUACUGAAAGGUCAGUUGGAUAUGUGUUGACAUAGUUGGGGGGAGGACCUUCAAAUUGAUCCAUUUUCUCUUGCAAGAUCUGCUCCCAAUUCUCCAAGUUUUUAAUCACAGCAAUACCUAAUGGUGAUGUUACAGGCAACUCUAAAAUGUAAUAGAAUAUGAUAUUUUACUUUGAUUAAAAAUGUUGACCAUCACCACAUAUUUACAAGAUCCAAAUUCUUAGAGCCAAAACUUCUGAAAGUACAAAUAAAUCUGAAAAUGUUAAUCUAACACCAUUUUGAUAUUUAAUGCUUUGAACAAAACAGAAGACCAGCUUUCUAAAAUGAGCUAAGAAAAUGUUUAGCUUCUCCAAGCUGGUUUCCUGGUUUUUCUUCCAACCUUCUAGGUAGUCAGUGAUUCUUGCCAUAUGAAUUAAAACCACAGACUGGAGCCUAAGAUAAAUAAGACCUCAUAACAUCUCCAAUGCUGUAUUUUUUUAGUACCACAUGUUCUUUUAUAUGGAUUUUGUAAAGAGAAACUUGAUGAUAAUUUGUUGUAUUUAAUAACAUUAAUUUUCAAAUUCCAAACUUACCAGAGAAUUCCAAUCCAGCAAUGGGAAAGAAAUUCUUGACAUUGUGAAGUACUAGCUUAACCAUUGUCAAAUGUAGAAGAGCCCAGCUGUUCAAAGGGACAAAAAAAAAAAUCUCCUUAAUUGAAAAAUAAAAUCAUGAGAAUAUAGUAAUGAUCCCUGUCAACUGUUUGGCCCAAUCUCCCACCCAGAAAAAACGAUGUUUUCUUCUAACAUAACUUACUAUUAAAAAAGAGUACCUUUGUAGUCUCUGAAAAUAAAAGAUAUGCAACAAUGUAUUACACUUGCAUUAUCUGAAAUACCUAAUGGAAAGAGAAUUACCACACAG
Mesoplodon densirostris (Blainville's beaked whale) is the source of this 2646-nucleotide long non-coding RNA. RefSeq lists it as uncharacterized. Lineage: Eukaryota; Metazoa; Chordata; Mammalia; Artiodactyla; Ziphiidae. The transcript is spliced from 8 exons. The record is from RefSeq and is a predicted model, not a curated record.